GGUCCUAAACUUGCUGCUGUUUUUGAUUAAAAUUACACAUGUAAGUAUCUGCACGCCAGUGAAAACGCCCUAAUAGUAAACAAGGAGCGGGCAUCAGGCACGAAAUUCAGCCCAAAACGCCCUGCUACGCCACACCCCCACGGGAAAUCAACAGUGACAAACAUUAAGCCAUAAGCGAACCACUCUUACCAUAAAGCUUGACUUAGUUAUAAUCAAUUAGGGUCGGCCAAUCUCGUGCCAGCCGCCGCGGUUACACGAGAGACCCAAAACAGCAUCCAAACGGCGUAAAUUGUGACUAGAAUUAACUGCUAGACCAAACCAAAGGGAAAAACCACUGCCAACCCGUAAAACAUUGGGCAAAAGGAAUUUUCUUUAUACAAGGCACUUUGAACUCACGAGAACUAAGAAACAAACUAGGAUUAGAUACCCUACUAUGCUUAGUCAUAAAUAAGACACCACAAACAAAGUGUUCGCCAGAGAAUUACGAGCGAAAAGCUUAAAACUCAAAAGACUUGGCGGUGCCCCACACCCGACUUAGAGGAGCCUGUCCUAUAAUCGAUGACCCACGAUAAACCUCACCCCCAUUCGCCAAUACAACCAGCCUAUAUACCGCCGUCGUAAAUCUACCUCACAAGAGACAAACUGUAGAUAAAAUAGUACAACACUAAAACGUCAGGUCAAGGUGUAGCUAAUACGGGGGCAGAGAUGGGCUACAUUCUUUAUAACACAAAGCAUACAAAAAGAACAAUGAAACAACUUCCAAAAGGAGAAUUUAACAGUAAGCCUGGCAAGAAAGCCAGGCUGAAGCCCGCUCUGGGGCGCGCACACACCGCCCGUCACCCUCCU
This 846-nucleotide ribosomal RNA is filed under the name Strobilurus torquatus. Its description in RNAcentral is "partial small subunit ribosomal RNA". It matches the Rfam family "Bacterial small subunit ribosomal RNA". The record is from RNAcentral. Lineage: Eukaryota; Metazoa; Chordata; Lepidosauria; Squamata; Tropiduridae.